Hevea brasiliensis (rubber tree) is the source of this 490-nucleotide long non-coding RNA. RefSeq lists it as uncharacterized. The transcript has 3 exons. NCBI's taxonomy places the organism in Eukaryota, Viridiplantae, Streptophyta, Magnoliopsida, Malpighiales, Euphorbiaceae. The record is from RefSeq and is a predicted model, not a curated record.
GCCACCGAUCGGACCGGGUCUUGUGUCCAAAACCAUCUACUCGGCGAGAGCUUUCCAUAGACACCAAGAACGCCGAAAUCCAUUGAGCGGAUUGUCCGAUUUUAGCUCGGGAAGAUUUUAGCCCAUUUCGACUUUUGGGCUAGAUUUCUCGAAAACCGUGAAUCCCACGAGAAAACCGAGGCCACCAACACGCUCCAUUCGUCGAGAGCUUCGCAACGACAUAAAUUUCGAAUUUUUCCGACACCGUUUUUCGGUAUCCUCGAUUCGCGGAAAUUCGACAGUUGACCGGGUCUGCAAAUUUCGGGCCAGACAGACCCGUUACCGGAAAAGUCUCCGAAUUGGACCGAGGUUUUGGCUAGCCCCCCAUUGUCAGACGUCCCAAGCGCGUUCCCGAAGUCGGAAUCGGCAAAGGUGAGCCGGGACAGCCUUCUUCCUCCGCCCAGCCGCCACAGUAAUUUGUCGUCAAGUUUGUGAGUAAAAUAUUAAUUUU